This 223-nucleotide long non-coding RNA is filed under the name Prunus dulcis (almond). RNAcentral's name for it is "sRNA ncRNA". Lineage: Eukaryota; Viridiplantae; Streptophyta; Magnoliopsida; Rosales; Rosaceae. The record is from RNAcentral.
AUGGUUCAGAACUUUGCUUUUGUCCAAGGUGAGUUUAAUGGCAGCACCAUAAGUUUGCUAGGAAGAAAUUCAAUUUUCAACAAGGCAAGGGAGCUGCCUGUGGUUGGUGGAAGCGGGGCUUUCAGGUUUGCUAGGGGUUAUGCUGAGGCAACAACUCACACUUUUGAUGGCACCACCACCGGUGAUGCUACGGUGGAGUACAAUAUCUAUGUGUUGCAUGAUU